CCUGCAUCAAGGGAGCGUCCAGGCCUCCAACGAAAAAGUUCCAGAGCCCUGGUGAACCCAGAUGUUUUGCUCAGCCCAGGAUUGUAUGUACAAGGUCACCUUUCUCCCAAACAUUAGCAUCACAGUCAGUUCAUAGCAAAAACUGCAGCUCAUCUCUCAAAGCCUAGAAAACAGCUCUACAACGGCUCAGUACAACACAAUGGAUAAAUUGUACAGGAACCGGAAAAAGGCAGCUUCCUUUCCCCUUUUCCUCUCUUCAAGCAGCUGCAAAGAGCACAGCACAUGCACUAGCACCGACUCCUUUCCAUCUGGAAGUGACCGC
Phalacrocorax carbo (great cormorant) is the source of this 322-nucleotide non-coding RNA. The record is from RefSeq and is a predicted model, not a curated record. NCBI's taxonomy places the organism in Eukaryota, Metazoa, Chordata, Aves, Suliformes, Phalacrocoracidae.